Ameiurus melas (black bullhead) is the source of this 73-nucleotide non-coding RNA. The record is from the annotation of a GenBank genome assembly. Lineage: Eukaryota; Metazoa; Chordata; Actinopteri; Siluriformes; Ictaluridae.
CGCACGGUGGUUUAGUGGUUAGCACGUUCGUCUCACUCCUCCAGGGUCGGGGUUCGAUUCCGUGUCCGUGUGU